GAACCUUCCUUUUAGUAGGUCAAAUGUGAGGCUUUCCCAAGGCUGGGGCCGCUAACCCAUGGCUGCUGGCCAACGCUUAUCAUUUGGAGUAUCUAGUGCUGUGCUAAGUACUACUGUGAUCAUUUACUUCUCCCAACAAUCCCUUUCCAAGUUGAGGAAAUGGGCACAGAAAAAGUAAUCCACUGCCUCACAUUUGCACAGCUGGCUGGUAAGAGGUGAAGGAACCCAAGGACUUGAGCCACCACCUGCUGUGCGUGCACUAACAGGAAGUUGAAAUCAGAUGCAGAAUUGAACCUUGAACCCAGGCACUCCAAUAGGCAAUGCAGAAAAUAGCUUCCAGAAAUCAGGGACCUUGUUUAACUGGUAUGCAAAGCUGUGCCAUUUUGCAAGGCCCAAAGCCGUCUCCCACUAGGUAUCUACUGAAUGUGCAAAUGAAAAAUCAGCAAACAGAACUCAGAGGCAAAAAGAUGACAAGAAAAAUGUCUUCGUGAGCAAACGUUUCUAAAGGAUCGGAUGGCUCAAAGGACACCAUGAAAAAAGUUUUUCCUGGAGUUAGAAAUUUAAAACAUUUCAAGCGGUGAUCUUCAAGUACAUAUUUAAUGGAUCGAUGGCUUCAGUCUAGCUUCCUUGGCCUAUAAUUCAGGUUCUGGACUUCUAACAGCAAUGCAAGGCCUUGCAGAUCACCUGCACAGAGCACUUAGGAGAGAAACUGGAGCCCCACAUCAGAGCUGCAGACUCUAAGAACCCGGAGAAGCACCAUGAGGCCACUCCGCCAUUCUGCCCUAAUUAUCCCAUCACUGGGACAGUCUCUCAGGCUAUAACAUUCGUGAAAGUAGAAAUGCCUUUCACAACAAUGACAGACCCAAUAAAAGGCCUCUUCCACAGGAAUAAAUAUAUAUUUAGUACCAUAUUAAACCAAUAUGUGAUUUGAGAUAGAAAAGAAUGACUAAUCUUGUAUGGAAAAAUGUUUGGCACCAACAUGCUAUCUGUUUGGCAAUUUUACAUGUCUGUAUUUCCUAAUUGGGUCCACAAUUCCUUUGCAUCGUGUGAGGCUAAUUCUUCUUUCAAGCUGAAAAUCAACCUUGCUUUACAAACAGUUGGAUGCUUUCACUGCAUUCAUGUUCAGAUAACCGGCUGUGUCAAGCAUAACUUUAAAAUAGCCAGUAAUGAAAUAUGUUAUAUGUAGUAGAUUUUCAAGUAUGGAUGCCAUAACAGAAUGCAAGUUCUUUAUAAGCUUUGUGGCAUCUGUCAUCACAGAUGCUUCAGGCAUUGGAGUUCACUUCAUCUACUCUUUUCCAAGGCUCCAGACAACUUCACUAAGAAUUUCCCGGGAACCCAUUCAACAAGCAGAUUCCUGAGCCCUGUUGGUGGAGAUUCUGUUCCUACAGAUCCAAGUGGAGGUCCAGAAGUCUGUAUUUGUUUAAAAGGCUUCUCACGUGUUACUGAGGCCUUUCUGGGUUAGAAAAUAGUGGUUUCAGUCCAGCUUCCAGCUCAUUCCCCCACCCCUUUAUCCACAUUCCUAACAAAUUAUUGCUCAGAUGUGCUCUGAGGCCUUCUAGAGACUCCAAAGCUUGUUGAUCUUCGUUUUUGGCAAAGUCUGAUUGUUGAAGGCUUUACUAACGUGCCAUGCUCUGCCAGCAACUUCCUCAAAUAGCUCUGGCUCUGCCCUCUGGCAUAACGAGGAUCAUUAUAUAUGAAAGUCCUUCAUAUAUUUUAAUAUGGCCUGCAGGUUCCUAAGACUCUUCUGCAACUAAACAGCAGGUUUCCACAAACAAUGGCUCACAGAUGUUUAGUGUCUGAGGUUUCAGGGUACCCUGACCACACCCAUGCACUCCUCAGAGCUUUCCCCACUACUACUGCUGGAAUGAGAGCUCCUUGUGAGCCCCUGGGCCCUGCAGAACAUGGAGCAAUAUAUGCCCAAGACUGUAUCAGUGGAAUAUCCCUUGUCCUGGCUGCUCUCAAAUGCACCUGCCACCUGACCCUGCAGUGUGAAGACAUUGUCAUCAGUGCAUGGUGAAAUAAGACAAAUAAACAGGAACAACCUAGCUGAGUUUCUUUAAUCUAAAAGAUUUAGUUCCUCUAUUAUUUCCUGCCCAGUUCCUUUUUAAAACAGCAUUUUUUUAACAAGUGAAACUAUAAAAUAAUACUUUUCCUGGUGUAUUUGUUUGCUUGUUAAAAUAAAAAAGGAGCAAUC
Molecule: non-coding RNA, 2194 nt
Organism: Oryctolagus cuniculus (rabbit)
Lineage: Eukaryota; Metazoa; Chordata; Mammalia; Lagomorpha; Leporidae
Source: RefSeq, a predicted model, not a curated record